UUAUAAGAGACAGCAGCCGCCGCGGUAAUACGGAGGGUGCAAGCGUUAAUCGGAAUUACUGGGCGUAAAGCGCACGCAGGCGGUUUGUUAAGUCAGAUGUGAAAUCCCCGAGCUUAACUUGGGAACUGCAUUUGAAACUGGCAAGCUAGAGUCUUGUAGAGGGGGGUAGAAUUCCAGGUGUAGCGGUGAAAUGCGUAGAGAUCUGGAGGAAUACCGGUGGCGAAGGCGGCCCCCUGGGCAAAGACUGACGCUCAGGUGCGAAAGCGUGGGGAGCAAACAGGAUUAGAUACCCGCGUAGUCCCUGUCUCUUAUAC
This 314-nucleotide ribosomal RNA is filed under the name uncultured bacterium. RNAcentral's name for it is "partial 16S ribosomal RNA". It matches the Rfam family "Bacterial small subunit ribosomal RNA", at positions 499 to 807 of the family's 1533-position model. The record is from RNAcentral.